GCAUAUCAAUAAGCGGAGGAAAAGAAACCAACAGGGAUUGCCUCAGUAACGGCGAGUGAAGCGGCAAAAGCUCAAAUUUGAAAUCUGGUACCUUUGGUGCCCGAGUUGUAAUUUGAAGAUAGUUUUCUGGUGCUGGCCCUUGUCUAUGUUCCUUGGAACAGGACGUCACAGAGGGUGAGAAUCCCGUCUGGCGGGGUGUCCAGUGCUUUGUAGAUUUCUAUCGACGAGUCGAGUUGUUUGGGAAUGCAGCUCUAAGUGGGUGGUAAAUUCCAUCUAAAGCUAAAUAUUGGCGAGAGACCGAUAGCGAACAAGUACAGUGAUGGAAAGAUGAAAAGAACUUUGAAAAGAGAGUGAAAAAGUACGUGAAAUUGUUGAAAGGGAAGGGUAUUAGAUCAGACUUGGUGUUUUGUGAUUAUCUUCCCUUCUUGGGUUGUGCACUCGCAUUUCACUGGGCCAGCAUCGGUUCGGGUGGUAAGAUAAUGACAUUGGAACGUGGCACUACCUUCGGGUGGUGUGUUAUAGCCCUUGUUGAUGUUGCCUACCUGGACCGAGGACUGCGGCUUUUGCCUAGGAUGCUGGCGUAAUGAUCUAACACCGCCCGUCUUGAAACACGGACC
Molecule: ribosomal RNA, 617 nt
Filed under: Williopsis saturnus
Lineage: Eukaryota; Fungi; Ascomycota; Saccharomycetes; Phaffomycetales; Wickerhamomycetaceae
Description: eukaryotic LSU rRNA
Rfam family: Eukaryotic large subunit ribosomal RNA
Source: RNAcentral